RNAcentral lists this ribosomal RNA (119 nucleotides) under Pteropus alecto (black flying fox). Lineage: Eukaryota; Metazoa; Chordata; Mammalia; Chiroptera; Pteropodidae. The record is from RNAcentral.
GUCUAUGGCCACGCCGCCCUGAGCAAGCCCGAUCCCGUCUGAUCUCGGAAGCUAAGCAGGGUCGGGCCUGGUUAGUAUUUGGGUGGGAGACCACCUAGGAAGACCGGGUGCUGUAGGCG